Molecule: RNA transcript, 7921 nt
Organism: Eriocheir sinensis (Chinese mitten crab)
Lineage: Eukaryota; Metazoa; Arthropoda; Malacostraca; Decapoda; Varunidae
Gene name: ankyrin repeat domain-containing protein 10-like
Exons: 6
Source: RefSeq, a predicted model, not a curated record
CACCAUUGAACGAAUCUGUCUUAGCUCAGCGGCCGGCGAGGGAGGACGUGCGAGCAGUGGUCCCUAAAAAUCAGCAAUAUCGCGGUGCCCUUUGUUAUCAUCCUCAAAUCACAUCACCAAAGCAACAGAAAUGGCCGUGGACAACCAGAACAGCGGGAACUGGAGUGUGAUGAGCGAGGCGAGCCUGGCUAAGAACUUCCCCCUGCAUAGAGCCUGCCGGGACGGGGAUGUGGCGGCCCUCUCGGCGCUCCUGCAGCAGGCCGCCACACAGGCCCACCUCACCCUGGAGGACACGUAUUACGGGUGGACGCCUACGCACUGGGCGGCAUACUUCGGGAAGCUGGAGUGUUUGAAGGCGUUGGUGGCCAGCAGCCAGGCCGUGCACCCGGGCAUGACAACCUCGAGGUUCACCCAGACACCGGCGCACAUCGCAGCGUUUGCCGGGCACCCUCACUGUCUGCUGUGGCUGCUUCAGACAGGAGUGAACCCCAAUGCACGGGAUUACCUUGGAGAGACAUCCCUCCACAAGGCGGCAAGAACAGGAUCCAUGGAGUGCGUCAACGUCCUGCUCAGCAACAAGGUUCAAGUCGGAAUACCAAACAACAAUGGACAGACAGCGGCCCAGCUUGCAAACUCCUGCAGCCACACUGACCUGGCAAAUUACUUACUGCAGGUUGAAGGAAAACAAGGCCAAACACAGACAAACGGCUCCAUCAGCCGCAGUGUGCCGAGCCACGGCCUGAACGGAGGCGUCUUCCCGCACAGCCCCGGCCUGGGACUCCCCGGGGCCCAGAAGGCCGACACUCCCACCAACGGCUUCCUGGCACAGUCCUGCCAGAAUGGAAGAAAUGCUGUCAAUGGCGCUAAUUCUACAUGCACCUCAUCCAAUGGUUAUUAUGGCUUCCAGGCCACCAACAGUCCUCCCGCCGAGGCCCUGAAUGGCCACCACACAAAUGGUGCAACAAAGCCCUCCAGUGAACAGCCAGAAGAUUGUGAAAUGGAGACAGAUGCAAACCCAAUUGUUGAAGCCAUCAAUGGCAAAGACAAGCCCACUCAACCUUUUUUGGCUAACUUCAUGACAGCUUCCCAGAAUGGGAUUUCUAACGGACAUACUAACGGAGCAUUGCCUGCCUUCACCAGCGGCAGCGCACAGAAUGGCUCCUUCACAAAUGGCAGCGCACAGAAUGGCUCCUUCACAAAUGGCAGCGCACAGAAUGGCUCCUUCACAAAUGGCAGCGCACAGAAUGGCUCCUUCACAAAUGGCAGCGCACAGAAUGGCUCCUUCACAAAUGGCAGCGCACAGAAUGGCUCCUUCAAGGCCGCCAAUGGCCACAAUGGUGACAUGAACCAUGCUAACGGGAGCCCUGCAAGUGUUGUGCCCAAGAUACUGCCCCGCCUGGGCGAAGACAUUAUGCUGAGUGAUGGCGUGUCCAAAAACUUUAUUCCCAUCGCCGGCUGCAAGAGAUCGAGGGAAGAUGUUUAUGUGCCGGAGAUGAAGCGGAUGAGGACUGAUGGUAAGAUGAUAUCCAUUUUGUUCCAUUACCUGUAUUUAUUACAACACAAAUGUAAACUAAAACUGGUCUCUUGUAAGUUCUGGCUACUUUACUUGUAACGGUUACUUAACCUUAUUAUAGAGUCCGAUCAGCUUCAAUUAAUACUUGUAAUAAUGAAACACUAACAAACACUGUCUUCCACAUUAUCCUAGAAGGUUAUCCUUACCUUAGGCUCUUGACUGACACACUCCACUAACAAACAAUGGAACUGGGUCCACAACACUUUGAUUUUCUUGUUUUUUAUGAAAAUAGAUACUCGGAAAACCAUACAACGUAUAGCCCAAGGAAAAGCAUUAUAUAGCAAAAAAACAAAGCCUGCAUUGCCAUUCACACACUUUGUUCUUCAUCACAGGCUUUUUGGCAACUUAUAAGUCUUAUGACAGAUGUAGAUUUUUCCAUGCAACAUUAGCCUUAAAUAAUAGCCUUAGCUACUCUUGGGAUUAUAGAGUAAUUUUUCCUACUUACAAUAACUUAAAAUCAAAACAUUUCAUGUUCUUCAUUCAUUAUACACUCAUUUCAUACUUAUGGGAUAUCUGUAGUGAAUCCUAGAUAAGCAGGGCGUACAUAGCUGGGUCUGUGAACUUGUAUAGGCAGUAAGGCUGGACCUAUCCCUCACCCAUCCAUUUGUAGCAACAGAGGCGGAAACACAACAAAAUAACAGGAUAAUAGGAGUGGAAGGGAGUAAAAACUUGAGAGCAAGCAGUGAAGGAAGCCAGGUUAUAGGAUUAGGUGAGAUCUAUGAGGGGUGUAAAUAUAGGUAUGAAUGUAGAGAGGGGAGUGAUGAAGAGUGCAAUGCUAUCAAACUUGACCUAUGCCGUAGAAAGUGUUAACAUGCAAGGAGGCACAAGAAUCAAGGAUAAAUUCAGUAACAAUGAGCUCAGUAGAUGGGACAAUGAAUAUGUGUAUAUACGAUGUGCCAUGGCUGAUAAGGAAGAAGUGUUGAAUGUUAAGGUGAAUUGUGGAAACUAACAGUGAUUGGUUCUGUCAGGAAUGAGGAAUGGCAAUAUUGUAAGAGUGUGAUUGUUGAGACAGGAUGGAGUAGCUGAGGAAUCACUGGUCAUAGGAAUGGUUAAAAUAUACAAGAGAAAGCUAGAUAGAAAGAAGGGUGAGGGGUGCUUGUGAUCACAGAAAUGGAAGUCCCACUGAGGCUACGAGAGCUGUAGACAGAGAAACUCAAAUGGAUGCCACGGGGCAGGGAAGAUUCAGUGAUAGGAUCCCAAAAGCACUUUAGAAGAAUUCCAUUACAACUCUUGAGCUAGUUACACUAAAGGAUGAUGGGAUAUGGUGCCGGCAAGUUGAGAAUGUACUGGCUGCUCACAUUGUACCUACGGGAAGGCAUGGCUUUUAAUUUGCCAACUAUAGUGUAGACAGACGGGUGUUGUCACACAGCAGAAACUACCUGCUGGACCUGAAUACCUCACCUCAUGCUCUCAACUGCUUGACUCCUCUACUCCUCUGCUGAUAAAUGGGUCACCUGCUCUAGGUCACUCCAUGACACAUCACUGAUAGCUCAUGAUACCUUAAUUAGGGCAAGGAAUCAAAUCACUGCAUUUUGAAGAAGUGCCUUACAACUUUUUUCACUCCUGCCUAUGAUACCAGAGUAGGUCGUCAUAUUAUGAUUAUCAUCAUUCAUUAGGCUGCAAGCUCUUAGGCAAUUAUGUGUGUAGAUGACUCCAAGUAUUCUCAUUUUAAAGCAGAGUAUACUUCAUAAACAAAUGAACCUAUAUUUCAUAGGGGGAAAAUUUAACUCUGAAUAACAGUUCUACUUCUAACUAGCAAAAUCCCUACUCUGUGGAGUGUACAGAUAUUGGCAGCAGCACAACAAAGAUAAGUAGGCCUUCUUAUAAGAAAGGUUUGCCACACCUGUUCUAAAGCACAUUACCUUCUAGAUGACUGACAUCUACUCUGUACUAAAAGCAUUGAACAUGCUAUACCAUUAUUUUUAUAAUGUUAAAGUCCUUCAACACACUUCUCACCAAAGAGACUCAGCCACUCUUGAUGUACGCCCUCAAAGUAACCUCCUCUGCUGUAAUCAGUGACUGGUAUGGAAAAAGGUUGAAUAAAGCUGACACUUGACUUGAGAAUGAAGAGCUGUCCACCUAAUGAUGAAGUAGAACAAGCUUAGUGCUAGUGAGCCUUGACUAAACCUAGUGGCUUGUUGUAGUGAUAAUCAACUUAUCUUCUGGCUUUUAAAGUAGACAAUCACCUGAUGCCUAUGUCUUCCUGUCUUACAAGGCCAUGUCACAAACUUAAGGAACAGAACACCAUUUUUGUAUAUUGGCAAACACGGCAGGACAGUACACCUCCAGUAAUCACGCUUGUGUUGGACAUUUUUUAUGCUGUUACUUCAAAGCAAACUGAUUAGGUCUUGCACGCUCAAGAAAAAUCGUUUUUGGCUCGGUGACUACCAAUACUACCUUCCACAUGAACCCCCUUUAAUAGUUUCCUUUACAAUCGAAUAGAAAAUGAAGUUCAACAAAAUUGCCUACACUCACACCCUCUAAUCCAGCCUGCCAAACUCAUCUGUUCCUUCACAUACUGAGGGUUCAGGGUCUAAUUCCAUCACCUUUUGUACAUUCGUAAAUAUACAGCGUCCUUACAUUCGUGUUCAACUUUGUAAAGAUUCUCAACUCCAUUUUCUCAUACACCAUAUAUCCUGCUUCAUAAAACUCAUUUUCACACAUUCAUAUCAUCCUCUGGGCCUUCCACAUCAACUGUCAUCCAAGUCACUGGUUAUGUCCUCUCCAGCCUUUCCAUGGGGCCAUACUAUCCUAGGAUGCCUUCCUCUACUCUCUGGAUUAAUGAUUUCGUCACACCACACCUUCCUCUCUCAUCAAUAUUCCUCGCUCCAUCAAUUCCCUUCACUAUGUAAAUCAUGCUACUCGGCACACUCUUCUCCACAGCUUUCUCCCUUGACUUUUCAUCCUCAUACCGUGUCAGCAUUUCACAUCUGUUAUGUUGGCAUAAGUUGUACAGUUAAAGUCAACAUGUGUUACAUUAUGGAGCCCUAGUCUUAGCAAAUGCUGUGCAACAAUUGUGUUCAACCAAUUGGUGGCACAUGGUGACAAAACAUUUUCCAGUGAGCUUUUCUACUUUUUUCUGGUUCUCCAGCCGUCUGUCUGGACUGUAUUGUGCUUUCCUAUGAUAUUCAUUUCCAAGGAAAUGCACUUGAUUAAAGUUUUUUUCAGAAAAUUAGUAACAAAUUUCUGAUAGCUAUAAUGCUGACAGCCAUUAGGAAUGAGUUGGUGAAUUGGCCCCAGAGCAAAGGGAAUGUAGGUGUGAGGUGACUACUGAAUGUUGUGGUGAGGAGGGAAGUGUAUGGGUUAGACCAUCUGUAAAAUAAAAACAGAUUAAAGAAUAAUGUAAGAAUAAGUGAACUGUAAUAUACCAAAAUGGUGAGCACUGAGGGUCAUGGAUGGUAGACUGUUGUUGUCACUGUGUGUGGAUGUAUAAUUAAUCUGCUUGGGUCAUCUUGGACAAAUUUGCAAGCUUAUGUGUCCUGAGUCUGAAGGCCUUGGGUUAUCACCCUUGCCUUAGUUAUCUUUAGCGAAGCCUGAACACCAUGCCAGGGAUGGGCCAGAACCUCUGGGAAUCGAACCUGGGAUCUCUUGGUUGUGAGUUGAAUAUGAUAGCCACUGCACUCCUGAGCACAGUAUCACACACCCACACAUACGUAAGGCGGGACACAAUCCCUGUCUGACACAAUGCACCCAUUCACUGCUGGCCAGGCAGGGGCACAGAUGUAAGACUACCUAUCCAUCUCCACUCUGGCUGGGAAUCAAACCCGAGACCUUUUGGUUAUGAGCGGUCUUUACCCACUCCACCACAGAAAACACUAGAAUCUGUCUAGUCUAUUCAGGGUGGACUAAACCUUUAGAAGAGCAGGAAACCAAUAUGACGGGUAAAAUGUGAUCAAAUAGAAAGUUGACCUUUCUGUGUGGUGAAGUAAAUGUAGAUGUAUGAUUUUACUUGCAAGGAAUGUAUGGAAAAUAUUUGCUAGACAGUUGAAAAAACAAAAAGGGAAACCUGGCACCUCGAUAUUAGACCAAACAACCAAAGUUACAGGAGAAAAGGAAUAAAAAGAAGAUUAUGGAGUAAGAGGAAUAAAUUUUUUUAUGGGAAGUGAAUGGGAAUACUGUGAAUGGAAUGGAAUUGUGAUUGUAAGCACACGGAUGACAAAACAAUGUCAGGCAGAUAGUGUGAAGGACUGAAGAUCAGAUUUUUUUCAAUACAAGAUGAAAAUAUGUAGGUAGUCUUUCCAGAUAAUGAAAUACCCAUAUGUUGAGAUUCACAGGAAAUUCAUGAAAAAUUUGAUGUACGGAGUGAUUUCAUGUCUUAUAUUGGUACUGAAAGUCCAGAGUAGAGUAAUGAAAGCCGCUGAAUUUAUUCAUGCAGUGUGACAUGUGGCUGUAUUAUGUCUUGGAUGCUUUGUUCAUGAGCCUUUAGAAUGAUGGGAGGGUGUUGGAGGGGCUAGAAGGACAGUUUGCUGAAGGGGAAAAGUAAUGACAGCUUCCGAAUGUAUUAAAGUAGUGUGAUGCAUAGCUUUUAUGUUGUGUCGGAUGCUGUGUUCAUGAACUUAGGAGAGAUGGAAACAGUUGCAGGGGCUGGAAUGACUGUUAAUCGACAAUAUUAAAUGGAAAUUAAAUGCUGUUAGGUUAGCAGAUGACACUUGUUCUGAGUUCUGAAAAUAAAGGAUUUGCAAACAAUUCUGAGUUGAGGUUGCAAGAAGUGGAAGCUGAAGACAAAUUAGAAAUGAAAUCCGGCAUGGAGAGAGUUGAAGUUGAAAAGUAAAACAGUGCCCACAUUGUAAGAGCUGACUGUGUGAAGCCGGGUGUGAUCAGGCUGAAUAAAUAAUGAAUGAGGUGAAUGAGUUUUAAAUAGUUUGGUUUGUUUGAUCCCCUCCCAAUGUGUAUGGAGGAAGGAGGAAUCUAUGAGCAAUGUGUAUGGAGAGAUGCUGGGAAGGAGAUAUCAAUAAGCAGUGUGUAUGGAGGUUUGCAGGGAAGGAGGAUCUAUGAGGAAGAAAGUAAUUGGUAACAAUGGGGUGCAGAGGUCUAGUGAGUUAAUGUCAAGGCAUGGAAGAGAAGAACCAGAGCAGAGGUCUAGUGAGUUAAUGUCAAGGCAAGGAAGAGAAGAACCAGUGCAGAGGUCUAGUGAGUUAAUGUCAAGGCAUGGAAGAGAAGAACCAGUGCAGAGGUCUAGUGAGUUAAUGUCAAGGUAUGGAAGAGAAGAACCAGAGGUGGGUAAAAGAUGUCAAGAGAAAGGGGAAUGAGAAUUAAGGUACAGAACAGAAAUUAUGGGAAAGCAUGAGAGAUGAUGGUGAGCAUUAAGGUACCGAGGUGUGUCUUUGGUGUGAAAAGAAUGAAGAGUAGUCAUGGCAGUAAGUGAAAUAUCAUAGGCAUAGAAUCCUUUCAGUGUUAAAGGGGAGUCUUCUGUAAUGUGAAUGGGAGGCGUGGAGAGCACUGACAAUGUGUACGGAAGCAAGUUUAACAAGUAGGAGGUUGAGAGGUUUGAUCAGCUAGACAAAAUAGAAAUGUGUAUGUGUGUGGUAUGCCAGAGAGGGUAUACAAGACAGGGAGAUACAGAAAGCCCAGACUGACAGCAAGCAAGGAGAUUAGUUGAUUAAAGAGGAAGGGAGAGCUUGAGCAUGUGAGAAUGAGAUGUAUAGACAGGAUGCGAGAUGUCUUUCACCCUGGCUAACUCUUUGUAGUUUGUAGACAUGAGCUUCAAACUUAUGCAAGUAGGAGAUACUUCAACUCAUCAUGAGGAAGAUUUGAACUAUAGACACUACACAACUGAAGACAGAAGGAGUGUCAGGUCAAGAACUGUCCCAUCAUGAGCUCUGGCAAAGGUCUGAUCCAAGAAUUCAUAUCAAGUAAGAAAAGGCCACACCACCAACUGAACUGCACAAAGAGCAACUGAAGAGAACAAGGAUGAACCCACCUGAACCUGAAGAACAAGAUAUGGGACUUCAGGAAAGGAUCUGCCCUCAAGGUGAUGAAGAGCACAGGUAGGCUGCAGCACCACCUGGCCAUGCCACUCAAGAAAGAAAAUGGAAGGCUUGUGUUCCCAAAAUGUCUGAUAAAGGAAGGAAAUGUGUGUCCAGGGCUGCUGUUGAAUAAAAAAAAUCACUGAAGAGUUUUUAUAGACUAGAAAAAGUAGCUGCUGAGUGCUUCAAUUAUUCCAUGAAAAUAAUUUUUCAUGGCAUAUCUAACAGAUAUACAGUAGAAGGCACAUUUCUCUAAGCUGCUUUUAAAAAGAAGACAAAAGGAAGCACAUCUUGAGAUUCCAGAUCAGAGGCAUGCACAAGGCAAAUUACUAAGGACACACACACACACACACACACACACACACACACACACACACACACA